AAAAAUUAUAAUAAGUGUUAAGGAUAAAAUAUUUAAUCAUGUAAAUGUUAACACCUAUUAUUUAUCAUUAUUUUGCUAGCAUUAGGCUAAGUUAAUUGGUACUUAGAUCGCACUUUUGUGCUCUCAUCACACCCCCCAACUAGCUUAUUGCUAGUCUCUAGCAAUUAACGAGCAGAUAAUAAAAUGAGAGUGCAAAAGGUGUUGGUUGAUCCUUUGAUGUUUUAUUUGAACUAAUUGCAUAAAAUUAAGAUAAGCACUCACUUUCGUAGGAAUCACGAUUGCACUUAGCAUGUGCAACAAGCCGUUAAACCCCUAGGUUACCCUAGUGGACGAGUGUUGUCUCGUGAGGGUUUUCAGGGAUGUUACCCACAAAUAUCAUGAAUUAUAUGACAUGAGAUUCUAAAAAAUAUGAAAUAAAUC
This 420-nucleotide long non-coding RNA is filed under the name Phoenix dactylifera (date palm). Its description in RNAcentral is "long non-coding RNA (PDAC_LNC009601)". The record is from RNAcentral. Lineage: Eukaryota; Viridiplantae; Streptophyta; Magnoliopsida; Arecales; Arecaceae.